Long non-coding RNA from Onychostoma macrolepis, 1535 nucleotides. RefSeq lists it as uncharacterized. The record is from RefSeq and is a predicted model, not a curated record. The transcript has 3 exons. Lineage: Eukaryota; Metazoa; Chordata; Actinopteri; Cypriniformes; Cyprinidae.
GCCUUCUGAUGAGGGGGCAAAAACAGGACAGAAUAUAGACUAUUACUUCUAAAUUAUGUUUUACGAUGUAAAAAUCUUAAUAGCAUUAUAAGUGGACCUCAGAGAACAGUACAUAAUAAAAAACAAAACACAGAGGCAGUUCAUGACCCUUUAAGAUUGAUAACAUUCACUUUCACCCUGACCAAUUCUAGUAAAAACAGCAGGCGGAAUAAUAUAGAAACUAGAAAAUAGUUUUAGAGUAGCAUAGCAUUUCACACAGUAUGUCAACUAACCCAAGUUACCCAGAUUUAGCUCAACUCGAAUAGCCUGAACUAGUAAAACUGGCAGGUUUUGGAGGUGUUUGUAGCAGAACUUGUCAUAGCUUUUAUGAACUCGAUGCUGUAAAGCGGACAUGACGACAGCAGAGAGGAACCACACCUAACCAUCAAUAAAGCGCAUUUCCUUCGGGUCUGUGAUCACUGGACACGGGUUAAUAAGAGCAGUUCCCUCCCAAAUAACGCAAGUAUUCUGGAGCAGAGCUUAACGUGAAACAAGACUGACUUCCUAACGGUGUUUCACCUCAACUUCUGUUAAAUCACAAUCAAAAUCCCUCUGAAACCUGGAAAAUCAACCGACAGAAGCUUCACCAAGUCCAGCAAUCUCAAACCAGGUCUAACCCACCUGUUUGACGGUAACGUUAGCCAGGCGAAGCAGGUCCUGGAGUCUCUGAUGAGGUGUGUUUGAUGGAGGAACACAGCUGGAAACCACUGAUUCAAACACUGGUCAUUUAAAUCAACCAUAUAGAAAAAUAAUGAUUUGAUGAAUUGAAGAAUCGAUCCAGAAUCAGUGUAAAGCGGCGGACGGCGGCGAUGAUUGAGACGUCACUCUGAGUAUAUCUGUCUUUGGUGUCAGCUGUGUGUGAAGUGCGCUGCGGCUCUCACAGAGGUGGUCAGCGGGCCCCUUUCUUUCACACGGCGGCCCCUCGGUUCAAUGUUAACGUCCAGCGGCUCCGCCUCCAGCUUUCACACCCUGUGCCGUCCAGCUGGCUGUGACCCCUGACCUCCUGACCCUCACUCCUGACCCCUGGACUCGUUCCCACGCCACACCGUUUUGUACGGCCAUCGCUGCACCGUAACAGAUGGAAAUAGCUUUAUUCAGCGGAGAGGUGGACAAUCUGCCCAAACGCUCCUCAAUAACCGUCACGUAGACUCCAGCGCCUCCGAUCAUGUGAUCUGACCAGUCUGCGAGUAACACACAUCCACUGCUGUGACAAACCAAUGUUUAGAAGAAUGCUGGAAACUCAAACACAAAUUUGAGAGGUGGACGACGUAACCAACAUAUGCACCACAAUAUAAAUCAUUUUCAACCACAAGGAAGGCCAUAACAUUGUUGUAGUUAUAAAUAAUAAAUAAAUGCAUCUUCAUUCAAGAUUUCUGUCUUGUUUAAGAUAUUAAAGGCCAUUGCACACUGAGUUUCGCACGUUGAAAAAUAAAUACGACCUCACGUCGUGUCAAUCACGGUUACACACUGCCUCCGAAACUUUUGUCCGUCAUAAA